UACGUAGGUGGCAAGCGUUGUCCGGAUUUACUGGGCGUAAAGGAUGCGUAGGUGGAUAUUUAAGUGGGAUGUGAAAUACCCGGGCUCAACUUGGGUGCUGCAUUCCAAACUGGAUAUCUAGAGUGCAGGAGAGGUAAGUGGAAUUCCUAGUGUAGCGGUGAAAUGCGUAGAUAUUGGGAGGAACACCAGUGGCGAAGGCGACUACCUGGCCUGUUCUUGACGCUGAGGCGCGAAAGCUAGGGGAGCAAACGGG
RNAcentral lists this ribosomal RNA (253 nucleotides) under uncultured bacterium. Its description in RNAcentral is "partial 16S ribosomal RNA". It matches the Rfam family "Bacterial small subunit ribosomal RNA", at positions 524 to 776 of the family's 1533-position model. The record is from RNAcentral.